RNAcentral lists this ribosomal RNA (444 nucleotides) under Triticum aestivum (bread wheat). RNAcentral's name for it is "partial small subunit ribosomal RNA". Lineage: Eukaryota; Viridiplantae; Streptophyta; Magnoliopsida; Poales; Poaceae. The record is from RNAcentral.
AUGCAGGCCGGGAGGAGCGCCAUGGAGGCCACCAAGGAGGCGGCGGCGAACGUGGGCGCCUCCGCCUGCUCCGGCAUGGAGAAGACGCGGGCCACCCUGCAGGGGCAGGUGGACAAGGCCACGGCGCACAGCGCCGCCGACAGGGAGGCGGCCGAGACGAGGACGCGGGAGCGCGUGCACGGCGCCGAGGAGGUCAAGCGGGACGCCAUGCUCGCCAACGCCGCCGCCAAGGAGCGGGCCAGCGCCGGGGAGUACCACCCGUCGCAGGGCGCGCCGGGGAUUGUGCCGGGCGGCGCCCCCGUUGGCGGCCACGUCGAGGCCGGCGUGGCCCAGAGCCGGCCGCUCGGCGCCGCCACGGGCACCGGGAGGCCCAGCGCCGCCCAUAACCCGCGCGUCGGCGGCGGCGCCGCGCCGGCGACCGGCACCGGCGGGCAGUACCAGUGA